GCUACCUGCCGGCGAGUGGCGAACGGGUGAGUAAUACAUCGGAACGUGCCCUGUAGUGGGGGAUAACUAGUCGAAAGACUAGCUAAUACCGCAUACGACCUGAGGGUGAAAGUGGGGGACCGCAAGGCCUCAUGCUAUAGGAGCGGCCGAUGUCUGAUUAGCUAGUUGGUGGGGUAAAGGCCCACCAAGGCGACGAUCAGUAGCUGGUCUGAGAGGACGAUCAGCCACACUGGGACUGAGACACGGCCCAGACUCCUACGGGAGGCAGCAGUGGGGAAUUUUGGACAAUGGGGGCAACCCUGAUCCAGCAAUGCCGCGUGUGUGAAGAAGGCCUUCGGGUUGUAAAGCACUUUUGUCCGGAAAGAAAUCGCUUCGGUUAAUACCUGGAGUGGAUGACGGUACCGGAAGAAUAAGGACCGGCUAACUACGUGCCAGCAGCCGCGGUAAUACGUAGGGUCCAAGCGUUAAUCGGAAUUACUGGGCGUAAAGCGUGCGCAGGCGGUUGUGCAAGACCGAUGUGAAAUCCCCGGGCUUAACCUGGGAAUUGCAUUGGUGACUGCACAGCUAGAGUGUGUCAGAGGGAGGUAGAAUUCCACGUGUAGCAGUGAAAUGCGUAGAGAUGUGGAGGAAUACCGAUGGCGAAGGCAGCCUCCUGGGAUAACACUGACGCUCAUGCACGAAAGCGUGGGGAGCAAACAGGAUUAGAUACCCUGGUAGUCCACGCCCUAAACGAUGUCAACUAGUUGUUGGGGAUUCAUUUCCUUAGUAACGUAGCUAACGCGUG
RNAcentral lists this ribosomal RNA (784 nucleotides) under Ralstonia solanacearum. Its description in RNAcentral is "bacterial SSU rRNA". It matches the Rfam family "Bacterial small subunit ribosomal RNA", at positions 79 to 861 of the family's 1533-position model. Lineage: Bacteria; Pseudomonadati; Pseudomonadota; Betaproteobacteria; Burkholderiales; Burkholderiaceae. The record is from RNAcentral.